UGUUACGUCAGAGCAGUUGUUGGU
This 24-nucleotide non-coding RNA is filed under the name Mus musculus (house mouse). Lineage: Eukaryota; Metazoa; Chordata; Mammalia; Rodentia; Muridae. The record is from RNAcentral.